UGAGGAAUAUUGGGCAAUGCCCGCAAGGGUGACCCAGCAACGCCGCGUGGAGGAUGAAUGUCGUAAGAUUGUAAACUCCUGUUAGAGGGGAAGAAUAGUACCGGUUGGACCGGUAUAUGACUGUACCCUCAGAGAAAGCCCCGGCUAACUACGUGCCAGCAGCCGCGGUAAUACGUAGGGGGCAAGCGUUGUCCGGAUUUACUGGUGUAAAGGGCGCGCAGGCGGGAUAAAAAGUCAGUGGUGAAAUCCUACAGCUUAACUGUAGAACUGCCUUUGAUACUUUUAUUCUUGAGUUCGGGAGAGAGAGACGGAAUUCCAGGUGUAGUGGUGAAAUACGUAGAUAUCCGGAAGAACACCAGUUGCGAAGGCGGUCUCUUGGUCCGACACUGACGCUGAGGCGCGAAAGCGUGGGGAGCAAACA
This 421-nucleotide ribosomal RNA is filed under the name uncultured bacterium. Its description in RNAcentral is "bacterial SSU rRNA". It matches the Rfam family "Bacterial small subunit ribosomal RNA", at positions 355 to 774 of the family's 1533-position model. The record is from RNAcentral.